This 19-nucleotide ribosomal RNA is filed under the name Archaeospora sp. 0213. Its description in RNAcentral is "partial 28S ribosomal RNA". The record is from RNAcentral. Lineage: Eukaryota; Fungi; Glomeromycota; Glomeromycetes; Archaeosporales; Archaeosporaceae.
GCAUAUCAAUAAGCGGGGG